Long non-coding RNA from Oncorhynchus keta (chum salmon), 1349 nucleotides. RefSeq lists it as uncharacterized. The record is from RefSeq and is a predicted model, not a curated record. Lineage: Eukaryota; Metazoa; Chordata; Actinopteri; Salmoniformes; Salmonidae. The transcript is spliced from 3 exons.
UUUCUCCUCCACUUUUUAAAAUCUCCGAUGAUGGGAUAGAAAUUGGACAGGAGGAUGCCAAUUCCCCGUAACAAUACAAAAAGUUAAUUGUAGGGAUCCACCAUAUAGCUUUUAUCUGCUUUGGAUUUUUUAAUAAGUAGAGAUGAAGGAGAAGGGAUGAAGAGACGAGAACAGGAAAUUGCUAUUAAGACUAUUGAGAUGCAGCUGAAGAGUUGGCCUAUUGAAAUGCAGUCGAAGAGUGUCCUCACUGAGAUGCAGCCACAGGCAGAUGGACAAGCAGGAACCUGGGAUGGAAAUAGACGAUAAUCCUGAAGAGGCUGUGGAUAGGGAUCUCUCUUACUGUGUACAGGCUGGCAUGCCUUGGGCGGAUGGCUGUGACCCAGACCAAAUUGAUGAUGAGAAUGGAUUGCUUUGAAUCCAUCACUUGGCAAGUGAUUUUAAGUAAUCUUCGAUAGACUUGAAAUCAAUGACGAAGACUCUACAGGCAAGAAUAUACACUGCAUGGGGAAAUGGUUGAGGACAUCCCAAUGUGCUGUAUACAUUUACAUAUAUAUUGUUAAAUACUGUACCUUGAUCAAAUAUUACUGUCAGAUUAAUUUGAGGAUCUCUCAUUUAAUACUUAAAUGAAAAGCAAAAUUCACCCAAAGAUUUGGGAUUCCUCACUAGUCAAAGGUGAAACUAGGCUACAAUUGAGAUCAUACCACUAGGGGUACUUGUUCACAUCUUCAAGACAUAUAGAGGGAUGCCUGGCUGACGUCAGUGGCCCGGACAUUACAUGUCCAUCCCCAUGUAAUGUCUGGAGCUCGGCGUUCAAGUUGAUGGUUAUUUGUCACUCAUGCAGAACUGUUUCAUCACCGGUAUAGUUAACCUGCUUCACCUCUGUAGUAUUGCACCUUUUCAUCCUUUGUUUUUUGCCCCAGGAUGACUGGUAUGGGCUUGCCCUGAGUGUAAAUGUAAUGUAUUCCAUCAAAUAGAGAAUGUAUCUUGGACAUGGCCUAAAGGUAGAUAUGGUGUGCUGUGGUUUUUCAUUCAAUGUAGCUGACAUGAUUAUAGCUAUACUCUUGUAGGUUGUCAUGUUUUGGUGAGUAGUCAUACUCUUAACAAAACACACAGGAAUUGUCACAGGCAACUCCUGUGACAAGGUAUGUGUCUAAAAAAGCCAUCUUGAAGGCACACCUUAAACAAUCUGUUCAUAUUGCAGUUCAUGAAAGCCUUACAUUUCACUAAAUUGUAUUUGUGGUCUUCUGAUGCUUUCCAGUCAUGGGUACUUGCUAAAGAUCUAUAAAAAUGUUGAAAUCCACUCAGCAAAAAAAUAAAUGUAUUUUCACCAUCAACUUUUAUUUUCAGCA